AUGUGUGUGUGUGUGGUGUGUGUGGUAUGUGUGUGUGUGGUGUGUGUGCGGUGUGUGUAUGUGUGUGUGGUGUGUGUAUGUGUGUGGUGUGUGUGUGGUAUGUGUGUGUGUGUGGUGUGUGUGUGUGUGUGGUGUAUGUGUGGUGUGUGUGUGGUGUAUGUGUGUGUGGUGUGUGUGUGUGUGGUGUGUGUGUGGUGUAUAUGUGUGUGUGGUUGUGUGUGUGUGUGGUGUAUGUGUGUGUGUGGUGUGUGGUGUGUGUGUGGUGUAUGUGUGUGUGUGGUGUAUGUGUGUGUGUGGUGUGUGUGUGGUGUAUGUGUGUGUGUGGUGUGUGUGGUGUGUGUAUGUGUGUGUGGUGUGUGUAUAUGUGUGUGUGUGGUGUGUAUGUGUGUGGUGUAUGUGGUGUGUGGGUGUGUGUGGUGUGUGUGGUGUGUGUGUGUGGUGUGUGUGUGUGGUGUGUGUGUAUGGUGUGUGUGGUGUGUGUGUGUGGUGUGUGUGGUGUGUGUGUGUGGUGUGUGUGUGUGUGUGUGUGUGGUGUGGUGUAUGUGUGUGGUGUGUGUGUGUGGUGUGUGUGUAUGUGUGUGUGUGGUGUGUGUGUGGUGUAUGUGUGUGUGUGGUGUGUGUGGUGUGUGUGUGGUGUGUGUGGUGUGUAUGUGUGUGUGUGUGUGUGGUGUGUGUGUGGUGUGUGUGUGGUGUGUGUGUGGUGUGUGUGGUGUAUGUGUGUGUGUGGUGUGUGUGUGGUGUGUGUGGUGUGUAUGUGUGUGUGUGUGUGUGUGUGUGCUCUGUGAUUUUUUGCUCUGCAUCCAGAAAGGACUUGAGGCAGCUAAGUGGGAUUUAAAGAAGAUUAAGCAUUUCGAGGGAGGGAGGCUGCAGCGGGCGAGCGUUGGUGUGAGAGCCCCACUAGGUCCUGGCAGGGAGAACCUGCCCUCUGUGCCCUGCAACAUCCCAAGCCCCGCCAUUGCCAGGGACAGUGGGUCUCACAGGGGAGACCACGGGCAGGCUAUGUCUCCAAAGAAGAUGCCGUUCGCAGAACAGCCCAGGACAAAACGGGCCUUGCCUUGCUGA
This 1062-nucleotide long non-coding RNA is filed under the name Callithrix jacchus (white-tufted-ear marmoset). Its description in RNAcentral is "lncRNA (ENSCJAG00000073771.1)". Lineage: Eukaryota; Metazoa; Chordata; Mammalia; Primates; Cebidae. The record is from RNAcentral.